AUGCCACAGGGGCCGGGCAAAGUGUGGAUUCAAGAAGAGGCAGGAACUUGAGGAUCAAAGGGAAACAGAUGGCAAGGAAAAAAGAAACCUGUUGCUGAAAACCAAGAAAGUAGCAUGCCCUGCUGUGUUCACAAUCAGCCGCAUUGUGAAGUUCCCUGGAUUCAAGUUGGAGAAGGACACAUCACGGUUG
This is a long non-coding RNA of Oncorhynchus keta (chum salmon), 190 nucleotides long. RefSeq lists it as uncharacterized. NCBI's taxonomy places the organism in Eukaryota, Metazoa, Chordata, Actinopteri, Salmoniformes, Salmonidae. The transcript has 3 exons. The record is from RefSeq and is a predicted model, not a curated record.